This 336-nucleotide ribosomal RNA is filed under the name Gratidia sp. 1 SB-2021. RNAcentral's name for it is "partial small subunit ribosomal RNA". Lineage: Eukaryota; Metazoa; Arthropoda; Insecta; Phasmatodea; Diapheromeridae. The record is from RNAcentral.
AAACCUAAAGAAUUUGGCGGUGUUUUAGUCUAUUCAGAGGAAUUUGUCUCGUUAUCGAUAGUCCCCGUUUUAUCUUACUUAAUUUGGUUAAUCAGUUUGUAUACCGCCGUUAUAAGUUUAUUUUUUUAGAAUUUUAUAAUUUACUUUAUAAAUAAUUAUUUAUUAUUUCAGGUCAAGGUUCAGCUUAUAAUUAAGUGUUAUUGAUGAAUUACAAUUUUAUAUAAGAAAACGGAUUUUUAAUUUAAAAUUUUAAUGAAGGUGGAUUUGAUAGUAAUUUAUUUUAUAGAAUUUAAUUGAUUUUAGCUCUAAAAUAUGUACACAUCGCCCGUCGCUCUA